AACGUGGGUGGCAAGCGUUAUCCGGAAUUACUGGGCGUAAAGGGUGUGCAGGCGGGGUUGCAAGUGGUGUAUGAAAUAUCCCAGCUUAACUGGGAGGGGUUAUGCCAGACUGCAACUCUAGAGGACGAGAGAGGGGGGUGGAAUUCCGGGUGUAGUGGUGAAAUGCGUAGAGAUCCGGAGGAACCCCAGAGGCGAAGGCGGCCCCCUGGCUCGUACCUGACGCUCAGCCACGAAAGCAUGGGGAGCGAACGGG
Molecule: ribosomal RNA, 253 nt
Filed under: uncultured bacterium
Lineage: Bacteria
Description: partial 16S ribosomal RNA
Rfam family: Bacterial small subunit ribosomal RNA
Source: RNAcentral